Molecule: long non-coding RNA, 259 nt
Filed under: Malus domestica (apple)
Lineage: Eukaryota; Viridiplantae; Streptophyta; Magnoliopsida; Rosales; Rosaceae
Description: long non-coding RNA (MDOM_LNC003854)
Source: RNAcentral
ACAAUCAUUCAUGCCCCCUAGCUACAAGACCACUCCAUUUUACCCUUCACACUUUGCAUCAUCACUUCAUUUUUCACCCUUGGACCAUUGCACACCACAUACACUCUUUGCCGUGCAUUCUGCCUAGCCUAACCUGAUUCUCUAAGGUUUUUGGGGCCUAUAUAUACAUGUUUACACCCCUUGGCAAGGGGUUCACACUCUCAUAUUCACCAUUCAUCACAGAAAUUCGUCCAUACUCACCCUAGGUAGCAAAACACCC